This 26-nucleotide non-coding RNA is filed under the name Homo sapiens (human). The record is from RNAcentral. Lineage: Eukaryota; Metazoa; Chordata; Mammalia; Primates; Hominidae.
UCUGCGUGGUGCUGCCGCACAUGACU